UACGUAGGGAGCAAGCGUUGUUCGGAUUUACUGGGCGUAAAGGGCGCGUAGGCGGCGCGGUAAGUCACUUGUGAAAUCUCUGAGCUUAACUCAGAACGGCCAAGUGAUACUGCAGUGCUAGAGUGCAGAAAGGGCAAUCGGAAUUCUUGGUGUAGCGGUGAAAUGCGUAGAUAUCAAGAGGAACACCUGAGGCGAAGGCGGGUAGCUGGGCCAACACUGACGCUGAUGUGCGAAAGCUAGGGGAGCAAACGGG
This 253-nucleotide ribosomal RNA is filed under the name uncultured bacterium. RNAcentral's name for it is "partial 16S ribosomal RNA". It matches the Rfam family "Bacterial small subunit ribosomal RNA", at positions 524 to 776 of the family's 1533-position model. The record is from RNAcentral.